Molecule: ribosomal RNA, 374 nt
Filed under: uncultured bacterium
Lineage: Bacteria
Description: bacterial SSU rRNA
Rfam family: Bacterial small subunit ribosomal RNA
Source: RNAcentral
UACGUAGGGUGCGAGCGUUAAUCGGAAUUACUGGGCGUAAAGCGUGCGCAGGCGGCGAUGCAAGACAGGUGUGAAAUCCCCGGGCUUAACCUGGGAACUGCACUUGUAACUGCAUGGCUAGAGUGCGUCAGAGGGGGGUGGAAUUCCGCGUGUAGCAGUGAAAUGCGUAGAGAUGCGGAGGAACACCGAUGGCGAAGGCAGCCCCCUGGGAUGACACUGACGCUCAGGCACGAAAGCGUGGGGAGCAAACAGGAUUGGAUACCCUGGUAGUCCACGCCCUAAACGAUGUCAACUAGUUGUCGGGGAUUCAUUUCCUUGGUAACGCAGCUAACGCGUGAAGUUGACCGCCUGGGGAGUACGGCCGCAAGGUUAAA